AGCAGCCGCGGUAAUUCCAGCUCCAAUAGCGUAUAUUAAAGUUGUUGCAGUUAAAAAGCUCAUAGUUGAAUUUCGGGGUUCUACCGUUGGUCGGGCAAUAGUCUGUACUGGCGUGUGGAAUUUCUACCUUCUGGGGAACCAUCAUGUUAUUAAUUUAGCGUGGUGGGAAACCAGGACCUUUACCUUGAAAAAAUUAGAGUGUUCAAAGCAGGCUUACGUCUGAAUACAUUAGCAUGGAAUAAUAAAAUAGGACGGUGGUCCUGUUUUGUUGGUUUCUGAAUCACCGUAAUGAUUAAUAGGGAUAGUUGGGGGCAUUAGUAUUCAAUUGUCAGAGGUGAAAUUCUUGGAUUUAUUGAAGACUAACUUCUGCGAAAGCAUUUGCCAAGGAUGUUUUCAUUAAUCAAGAACGAAAGUUAGGGGAUCGAAGACGAUCAGAUACCGUCGUAGUCUUAACCAUAAACUAUGCCGACUAGGGAUCGGACGAUGUUAAUUUUUCUUGACUCGUUCGGCGCCUUUACGG
RNAcentral lists this ribosomal RNA (520 nucleotides) under uncultured Gigaspora. RNAcentral describes it as "SSU rRNA". It matches the Rfam family "Eukaryotic small subunit ribosomal RNA", at positions 569 to 1094 of the family's 1831-position model. Lineage: Eukaryota; Fungi; Glomeromycota; Glomeromycetes; Diversisporales; Gigasporaceae. The record is from RNAcentral.